This 835-nucleotide long non-coding RNA is filed under the name Olea europaea subsp. europaea. Lineage: Eukaryota; Viridiplantae; Streptophyta; Magnoliopsida; Lamiales; Oleaceae. The record is from RNAcentral.
GUUUUUUAAAUUCAAUAGCUUCCUUGCUUUUUAAUGUCCAUCUAUUCCACACACAUACACAGUUUAUCAAUUUCAAAGGCAACAAGACUCAUUUUUUUACUAUAAAUAUUUUGUAAAAAUCAAAUUGUUGGCACAUAUUUUAAAAGCAGAAAGCCAUUCUCCAUCUUUAAUUACGUUCAAGGAAGCUGUAGAAGUCUGGAAAUUGAAAUAUUCUCUUGGAUUAUUCUUUCAAAAGUUCGUUGAUCUAACGAGGUAGGAUACUAUGUACAAGUUGUUCCAUCCUUUUAAUAUUAUAAUUUUUGAUGUGAUUUAUUUCAUGAAAUGCUAAUUGACCUACUGGUCCCUAUGAAGUGAAAUAAAAUGUGAGAUCUCCUUCGGGUCUUCUCAAAUAUGUUAGAGUAUUUGAUUGAUCACCGAUUGCCCUUGAUGAAAUGCUGGUAUGGAAUGUUGUAAAUUCAUGUUUUAAAAGUUAUUAUAUUGUUUGGAUGCACGAAUCCUACUGAGUAUAAUUUAGUCAUUCCUUCAAUUUUAACAUUUUAGGUUAGAUCGAUCGACGUGGAUGGUGGUUGAGCGGUGUGCGGGUUGCCAAGUAAAGAAAUUUUCAAGAAAAAAAUUUAAAAAUAAUUCUUCUAGGACAUUUUGUGUUUCCAUUGAUUUCCAUUUAACGUUUCAUAUUACCUGACAAUACAUUUAUUUGAUUUAGCCUUUGAGUAUUAAAUAAAUUAGGAGUUUUAAAGUUCCAAUUUAUAUUUUCACUUGAUGUAUGUUUAUGAAAUGAUAUUGGUAACACCUCAAUUUUUAAAUCGAUAAAAUUUGGGGCGUUACAACAUCCUUG